GUCCCUAUCUGCCGUGGGCGUUGGAGAAUUGAGAGGGGCUGCUCCUAGUACGAGAGGACCGGAGUGGACGCAUCACUGGUGUUCCAGUUGUCUCGCCAGAGGCAUUGCUGGGUAGCUACAUGCGGAAGAGAUAAGUGCUGAAAGCAUCUAAGCACGAAACUUGCCUCAAGAUGAGUUCUCCCCGACUAUAAGUCGGUAAGGGUUGUUGGAGACUACGACGUAGAUAGGUCUGGUGUGUAAGUGGUGUGAGCCAUUGAGCUAACAGAUACUAAUUGCCCGAGAGGCUUAACUAUACAACGCUCAAG
RNAcentral lists this ribosomal RNA (305 nucleotides) under Actinobacillus suis. RNAcentral describes it as "partial 23S ribosomal RNA". It matches the Rfam family "Bacterial large subunit ribosomal RNA", at positions 2634 to 2925 of the family's 2925-position model. Lineage: Bacteria; Pseudomonadati; Pseudomonadota; Gammaproteobacteria; Pasteurellales; Pasteurellaceae. The record is from RNAcentral.